Molecule: ribosomal RNA, 796 nt
Filed under: Cornufer bufoniformis (warty webbed frog)
Lineage: Eukaryota; Metazoa; Chordata; Amphibia; Anura; Ceratobatrachidae
Description: partial 16S ribosomal RNA
Rfam family: Bacterial large subunit ribosomal RNA
Source: RNAcentral
AACCCCUACCCACUAUUGAAUGACUCCAUUACCUUAUGGAAGACAUCAUGUUUGAACUAGUAACAAGAAUAUGAAAUUCUCCUAAAUAUAUGUAUAAGCCACACCAGACCAACUAACGGCAAUUAGCGUUUAUAAACCCCCUAUAACAACCCCCCCGAAAAACUUAUUAUAACUAACGUUAACCUUACACAAGAAUAUUUCAAGAAAGAUUAAAAGGGAGAGAAGGAACUCGGCAAAUCUUAACCCCGCCUGUUUACCAAAAACAUCGCCUCUUGUUAAAGCAUAAGAGGUCCAGCCUGCCCAGUGACACUUAAACGGCCGCGGUAUCCUAACCGUGCUAAGGUAGCACAAUCACUUGUCCUUUAAAUAAGGACUAGAAUGAAUGGCAUCACGAGGGUUAAACUGUCUCCUCCCCCCUAUCAGUGAAACUGACUUCCCCGUGAAAAGGCGGGAAUAAAUAUAUAAGACGAGAAGACCCCAUGGAGCUUUAGACACUAGGCCAAUCUUAACCUCAAACCCCCUAGUCCAAGAUCUAAACCCUAAGUCUUUGGUUGGGGCGACCAUGGAGAAAAAAUCAACCUCCAUGCCAAAUGGAUUUAUCCUUAUCCAAGAACUACACCUCCAAGAAACAGAAAACUGACGCCCACUGAUCCGGAAUCCGAUCAACGAACCAAGUUACCCUGGGGAUAACAGCGCCAUCCACUUCAAGAGUUCAUAUCGACAAGUGGGUUUACGACCUCGAUGUUGGAUCAGGAUAACCUAGUGGUGUAGCCGCUACAUAAGGCUCGUUUGUUCA